Molecule: ribosomal RNA, 784 nt
Filed under: uncultured bacterium
Lineage: Bacteria
Description: bacterial SSU rRNA
Rfam family: Bacterial small subunit ribosomal RNA
Source: RNAcentral
CUCUUCGGGGAUGAUUAAACCGGCGCACGGGUGAGUAACACGUGAGUGACCUGCCUUUUAGACUGGAACAACUUACCGAAAGGUGAGCUAAUGCCGGAUGAGUUAUAUAAGUGCAUGUUUAUAUAGGAAAAGUUGGGGAGACCUGACGCUGAAAGAUGGACUCGCGUCCCAUUAGCUAGUUGGUAGGGUAAUGGCCUACCAAGGCGACGAUGGGUAGCCGGCCUGAGAGGGUGGCCGGCCACACUGGGACUGAGACACGGCCCAGACUCCUACGGGAGGCAGCAGUGGGGAAUUUUGCGCAAUGCUCGUAAGAGUGACGCAGCGACGCCGCGUGAAUGACGAAGGCCUUCGGGUCGUAAAGUUCUUUCGACAGGGAAGAAAAUGCCUAUAAGUAACUGUGUAUGUAUUGACGGUACCUGUAUAAGCAGCCCCGGCUAACUCCGUGCCAGCAGCCGCGGUAAUACGGAGGGGGCGAGCGUUGUUCGGAGUGACUGGGCGUAAAGAGCACGUAGGCGGUGUUGUAAGUCAUUAGUCAAAGACUAGAGCUCAACUUUAGUAAGGCUAGUGAUACUAUAAUACUAGAGUAUCAGAGAGGAUUGCAGAAUUCCUGGUGUAGCGGUGAAAUGCGUAGAUAUCAGGAGGAAUACCGUUAGCGAAGGCGGCAAUCUGGCUGGAAACUGACGCUGAGGUGCGAAAGCGUGGGUAGCAAACAGGAUUAGAUACCCUGGUAGUCCACGCUGUNAACGAUGGAUGCUAGGUGUUGGGCUUUUAANUUCAGUGCCGC